UGAAUACGAGACGCUAAGGCGUCGAAGUAGUGUAUCAGACUUCCAAGAAAAGCUUGCACUGUCAUAGAUAAAAAAUGCCUGUACCAUAACCGACACAGGUGGGUAGGUAGAGUAUACUAAGGGGCGCGAGAUAACUCUCUCUAAGGAACUCGGCAAAAUAACUCCGUAACUUCGGGAGAAGGGGUGCCUUAUUUAUAAGGUUGCAAUAACAAGAUCCAAGCAACUGUUUAUCAAAAACACAGGUCUCCGCUAAGUCGUAAGACGAUGUAUGGGGGCUGACGCCUGCCCAGUGCCAGAAGGUUAAAGAAGUUGGUUAGCAAUUGCGAAGCUGAUAACUGAAGCCCUGGUGAACGGCGGCCGUAACAAUAACGGUCCUAAGGUAGCGAAAUUCCUUGUCGGGUAAGUUCCGACCCGCACGAAAGGCGUAAUGAUUUGGAUACUGUCUCGGAGAGGGGCUCGGUGAAAUAGACUUGUCUGUGAAGAUGCGGACUACCUGCACCAGGACAGAAAGACCCUAUGAAGCUUUACUGUAACUUGAAAUUGAAAUUGGACUUUAUUCGCGCAGCAUAGGUGGGAGGCGUUGAUUAUAAUCUUGCGGGAUUAUUGGAGCCAUCAGUGAGAUACCACUCUUGUAAUGUUAGAUUUCUAACUUUGAAUCAUUAUCUGGUCAAAGAACAGUUUCAGGCGGGCAGUUUGACUGGGGCGGUCGCCUCCUAAAUGGUAACGGAGGCGUACAAAGGUUUCCUCUGAACGGUUAGAAAUCGUAUCUAGAGUGUAAAGGCAUAAGGAAGCUUGACUGUGAGACCUACAAGUCGAGCAGGGACGAAAGUCGGUCUUAGUGAUCUGACGGUACUGAGUGGAAAGGCCGUCACUCAACGGAUAAAAGUUACUCUAGGAUAACAGGCUGAUCUCCCCCAAGAGUUCACAUCGACGGGGAGGUUUGGCACCUCGAUGUCGGCUCAUCGCAUCCUGGGGCGGUAGUACGUCCCAAGGGUUGGGCUGUUCGCCCAUGAAAGCGGUACGCGAGCUGGGUUCAGAACGUCGUGAGACAGUUCGGUCCAUAUCCGGUGUAGGCGUUAGAAUAUUGAGAGGAGCCUUCUUUAGUACGAGAGGACCGAGAAGGACAUACCUCUGGUGUACCAGUUAUCGUGCCAACGGUAAACGCUGGGUAGCUAUGUAUGGAGUGGAUAACCGCUGAAAGCAUCUAAGUGGGAAGCCCACCUCAAGAUAAGUAUUCUAC
Molecule: ribosomal RNA, 1240 nt
Filed under: metagenome
Description: bacterial LSU rRNA
Rfam family: Bacterial large subunit ribosomal RNA
Source: RNAcentral